AUGUUACCCCACGACUUGCUCGCCGACGUCCUCCGCCACCUCGGACCGCCGCGCCUCGUCGCCGUGUCCCGCUGCAUCUGCAAGGCAUGGCGCGACGUCAUCGACGAUCAUCGCCUGCUGCGAGCGGACCUCCUUCCUCUCUCUCUGGCCGGCAUCUUU
Molecule: ribosomal RNA, 159 nt
Filed under: Triticum aestivum (bread wheat)
Lineage: Eukaryota; Viridiplantae; Streptophyta; Magnoliopsida; Poales; Poaceae
Description: partial small subunit ribosomal RNA
Source: RNAcentral